Molecule: unclassified non-coding RNA, 350 nt
Filed under: soil metagenome
Description: partial contains 5.8S ribosomal RNA, internal transcribed spacer 2, and large subunit ribosomal RNA
Rfam family: 5.8S ribosomal RNA (bases 1-120)
Source: RNAcentral
GAUGAAGAACGUAGCGAAAUGCGAUAAGUAAUGUGAAUUGCAGAAUUCAGUGAAUCAUCGAAUCUUUGAACGCACAUUGCGCCCGCCAGUAUUCUGGCGGGCAUGCCUGUUCGAGCGUCAUUUCAACCCUCAAGCCCAGCUUGGUGUUGGGGAUCGGCACAGGCGCCCUCGGGCGCCCGCCGUCCCCUAAAUCUAGUGGCGGUCCCGCUGCAGUCUCCUCUGCGUAGUAGUUUUCUCCUCGCAAGGGCAGCUCGGUGGCGACCUCGCCGUAAAACCCCCAACUUCUGAAAGGUUGACCUCGAAUCAGGUAGGAAUACCCGCUGAACUUAAGCAUAUCAAUAAGCGGAGGA